RNAcentral lists this ribosomal RNA (495 nucleotides) under uncultured bacterium. RNAcentral describes it as "partial 16S ribosomal RNA". It matches the Rfam family "Bacterial small subunit ribosomal RNA", at positions 28 to 507 of the family's 1533-position model. The record is from RNAcentral.
GAUGAACGCUGGCGGCGUGCCUAAUACAUGCAAGUCGAGCGAACGGACGAGAAGCUUGCUUCUCUGAUGUUAGCGGCGGACGGGUGAGUAACACGUGGAUAACCUACCUAUAAGACUGGGAUAACUUCGGGAAACCGUAGCUAAUACCGGAUAAUAUUUUGAACCGCAUGGUUCAAAAGUGAAAGACGGUCUUGCUGUCACUUAUAGAUGGAUCCGCGCUGCAUUAGCUAGUUGGUAAGGUAACGGCUUACCAAGGCAACGAUGCAUAGCCGACCUGAGAGGGGGAGCGGCCACGGUGGACCGACGACCGGCCCCAGCCCCGGGGGGGGGCCGCAGGUGGGAAUUUUCCCGAAAGGGCCGAAGCUCGGAGAGCGCACCGCCGCGGGAGGAAGGAAUGUCUUGGGUGCGAAAAACUCUUUUAUGGGGGAAAAACAUAUGUAAAAGUAAGUGUCCAUCUCUGCGCGGUCCAAAAUAAAAGCCCCGGGCCACCCCCCG